UACAGAGGCCCCAAGCGUUACCCGGAAUCACUGGGCGUAAAGGGUGUGUAGGCGGUUAUGUUAGUCCACUGUUAAAGCACCCGGCUCAACCGGGGACCGGCAGUGGAAACGGCAUAACUAGAGGAUGCGAGAGGUCUGUGGAACUCUAGGUGUAGGGGUGAAAUCCGUUGAUAUCUAGGGGAACACCAAAAGCGAAGGCAGCAGACUGGCGCACUCCUGACGCUGAGACACGAAAGCGUAGGUAGCGAACGGG
Molecule: unclassified non-coding RNA, 253 nt
Filed under: Candidatus Kaiserbacteria bacterium
Lineage: Bacteria; Candidatus Kaiseribacteriota
Description: contains 16S-23S intergenic spacer region
Rfam family: Bacterial small subunit ribosomal RNA
Source: RNAcentral